UAGUCCACGCCCUAAACGAUGUUUACUCGAUCUUUGCGGUACACUGUAAGGGUCCAAGCGAAAGCGUUAAGUAAACCACCUGGGGAGUACGUUCGCAAGAAUGAAACUCAAAGGAAUUGACGGGGGUCCGCACAAGCGGUGGAGUAUGUGGUUUAAUUCGAUGAUACGCGAAGAACCUUACCUAGGCUCUAAUGCUAUUCGACAGUUUCAGAAAUGAAUCCUUCCUUCGGGACGAAUAGUAAGGUGCUGCAUGGUUGUCGUCAGCUCGUGCCGUGAGGUGUUGGGUUAAGUCCCGCAACGAGCGCAACCCCUAUUUUUAGUUGCCAGCGAGUAAUGUCGGGGACUCUAAAGAUACUGCCUGCGUAAGCAGAGAGGAAGGCGGGGAUGACGUNAAAUCAUCAUGGCCUUUAUGCCUAGGGGCUACACACGUACUACAAUGGGUAAUGAC
This 448-nucleotide ribosomal RNA is filed under the name uncultured bacterium. Its description in RNAcentral is "bacterial SSU rRNA". It matches the Rfam family "Bacterial small subunit ribosomal RNA", at positions 791 to 1240 of the family's 1533-position model. The record is from RNAcentral.